This 463-nucleotide ribosomal RNA is filed under the name uncultured bacterium. RNAcentral's name for it is "partial 16S ribosomal RNA". It matches the Rfam family "Bacterial small subunit ribosomal RNA", at positions 28 to 507 of the family's 1533-position model. The record is from RNAcentral.
GACGAACGCUGGCGGCGUGCUUAACACAUGCAAGUCGAGCGGAAAGGCCACUUCGGUGGUACUCGAGCGGCGAACGGGUGAGUAACACGUGAGUAAGCUGCCCCUCACUUUGGGAUAGCCACCGGAAACGGUGAUUAAUACCGGAUAUGACCAUAUGUCGCAUGGCGUGUGGUGGAAAGUUUUUCGGUGAGGGAUGUGCUCGCGGCCUAUCAGCUUGAUGGUGAGGUAAUGGCUCACCAUGGCUUCGACGGGUAGCCGGCCUGAGAGGGUGACCGGUCACACUGGGACUGAGACACGGCCCAGACUCCUACGGGAGGCAGCAGUGGGGAAUAUUGGACAAUGGGCGGAAGCCUGAUCCAGCAACGCCGCGUGAGGGAUGACGGCCUUCGGGUUGUAAACCUCUUUCAGUACCGACGAAGCGCAAGUGACGGUAGGUACAGAAGAAGCACCGGCCAACUACGUG